This 211-nucleotide unclassified non-coding RNA is filed under the name Glomus sp. Its description in RNAcentral is "partial contains 5.8S ribosomal RNA and internal transcribed spacer 2". The stretch from base 1 to 65 matches the Rfam family "5.8S ribosomal RNA", at positions 84 to 154 of the family's 154-position model. Lineage: Eukaryota; Fungi; Glomeromycota; Glomeromycetes; Glomerales; Glomeraceae. The record is from RNAcentral.
GUGAAUCAUCAAAUUUUUGAACGCAAAUUGCACUCUCUUCGGAGAGUAUGCCUGUUUGAGGGUCAGCCUAAAAAAAAUCGACAUAGUCGCGGUUUGCCGGUGACUUUCGCGGGAAAUGGGGUAAUCUUAAACCUUUGGGUUUUAAGGGGCUUAAAAUUUUCUUUACGAUUCAACGAACUUUCCUAAGAUUUACUUUUUACACGUUUAAGGU